RNAcentral lists this long non-coding RNA (34147 nucleotides) under Vitis vinifera (wine grape). RNAcentral describes it as "long non-coding RNA (VVIN_LNC007414)". The record is from RNAcentral. Lineage: Eukaryota; Viridiplantae; Streptophyta; Magnoliopsida; Vitales; Vitaceae.
CUCCUGUAACUUACAGCUUCUCAUUUCUUAAGAGCGGCAACAAGGAUCUCAAGCUCGUAGCAGUUGCAGCAGCUUCUCUGGUGUGCAUCACUGUGCUUGCUAUUGGAAAAGCUUACACCCAAAAGGCAUCCGGUUUUUUUGGGUACAUCAAAACCGUGUCGUCUUUUGUUAUUCCCGGGUUUAUGGCAUCAGGAGUGUCUUACGUAGUUGGUGAUCUAAUCAAGAAGCUCUUGGAGAAGCUGGGUUUGUUUGAGUCAAGUUCAGCUUUCACCCUGUCCCUUCCUGGGACUGCAACACCAGAAUCCGGAUGGGGAUUCUAUUGAGGAGUGCUGCAAGUUGACUGUUAAAUCUAGAGGAUCCAACCAAUAAAUUAAUGAUUGGGACUGAUGGUAGUUUCUUCUCAGUUUCCACCUACUUUUAGCUUGGCUUAUUGUAAGACAUAUUUGCCUUGCGAUAUUGGUAUCGGUAGUAUUGCUUUAGCUUUUUUAUGUCUACAUUUUAUUAGCUUUUGAUUAUUUGUUUAGAGGACGAGAAAGAUGAGCAACCCUGGAUGCUAGUGAUUUAGUUUUUGCUGAAAAUUUUCUAUUUCUCUUUCAACUCUUCAAUUUCAUGUGCUAAAACACUGGAUGAUCUUGGUUCCUUGAUGCUUAAAACCUACAUAAGGUGAAUGCCAUAUCCACAACAUUAUUGUUAAUUGGUGGUUUAAUUACAACUCAAUACGGAAUUUGUUCUUUCUAGUUUGUGGCAAAGAUAUUAGGAAGUUCAAAUUUACAAGAUGGAGUUGUAAACCAAGGGACUAAUAGUAUAAAGGAAAAAGAGAGAAGAGAAACCAUACUGUAUUUGACAGAUCCAUUGGGGAAAACUCUUACGAAUAAAAUUGAGCAAGAUGGAUUAGUUUUUGCUUGUCAAAAGCAACAAAGGAAUCACUAGGAUUUAAGCAAACCACACAAAUAAUCAACUCAGUGUUUACCUUAAUGAAACAACUAUUAAGCUCUUGAAGUUGCAUAUCUAUAAUAGCAUAGAAUAACUCGACUUAAUAAUAAUAAAAAAUUUUAAUUUCAUGAGCUUUACAUCAUGGUUGCCCUCGAGUUAGAAAUGUAUCAUCCAUGUUUGGAAUAUCAAUAUUAUGUUUUCCACAAAACCAAAAAACUUGAUCAAAUAAAAAACCCCAAUCACUUUCUCUCAUCAUUUACGAUUAUUGCUAACAUACUUUAACCAAAGUCAUGACAUUAACAAUGUUUUGAUUUUUCCUCUAUAAUGCUUGUGACAAUUCACUUGUGAUUCCCAAUAUACCUCUCAUCAAAUGUAAACUGAGGGCAAAGUUAAAUGAUUGCAUCAACUCUAACAAGUUAGUUGUUUCAUAUCUUUGCUUGAAAUUUGAAAUAUCCUCCAUAAUAAUCUCAAGUACUUCGAUUAAAGAAGAGAACAUGUUAAUUAAUCUGAGUAAAUUAAGUACCAUACUAUAAGCCCCAGUAUGGAAGCACAUUUAAGAGUGGUUUCCUGGUUUAACCCUUGCCCACUACAAAGAUCGUCAUGAUUAAGUGAUUCAACUUCUAUAGCUUCCUUAUUAUGAAGGAUAUCACAAUGUUUAAAUGAGGCACCAACAACAUUAACCACAUUAACAACUAGAUUGAAUAAAAAGAAAAUUUGAAUAUGAUUCUUUGUCACAGUCACAAGAGCUAAUUGAAGUUGAUGAGUCAAACAAUGAACAUCAAAGGCACAUUUGUUCUCUUUUAUAGUAAGUGUUUUAAGACCAUUGAACACCCCAUUGCAUAUUACUUGCCCCAUCAUAACCUUGUCCAUGAAACCUACACACACUUAAUCUAUGCCUAGAAAAUAAACCAUCAAUAGUUGCCUUAAGUGAAAGAACAUUAGUUCUAGUAGCAUGCUCAAUACCAAUAAAACACUCAAUUAUAUACCCUUUUAUCCACAUAACGCAAUACAAUGUCCAUUUGCUUCUUUCUUGAGUGGUCAUGGGAUUCAUUAACUAAAAGAGAGAAAAGUAAAUCUCCUAGCUGGAUCUCUAAUAAUAAUAUUAAUGGUUUCAAUUGCAGUAGCUCUAUGGCACGACCUCUUGUUUUUCAUGAAUGUGUCUCCCUUUCUGCUUAUGUGAGUUUAACCCGCCUUUGACUUUGCUUACUUCUAACUCCCUAUGAGCCAUUUUGUGACCUGACUUUUUCGAAGGGUUUGCGGGACAUGGGAGCCUUAGCUCAUGCAUUGGUUUACCGAAAUCACUUCCGCUAUCCCACUUCUUUCCAUUCAAAAGGCGAGCAACUCUUAAACUAAAAGGCCUAAGAAGGCUUUUCUUUAUAUACUACAUAAGCCCUAAAGUAGGUAACCCCAAAAGCCAAAACUCAGCAACUUUACUUUUUAGGUUUUGGCUUGUCCCAUUCAAUUUUUUAGUAAGAUAGCCCAAUGUCUUUUUGAAUUUCAUGUGCCAUUAAUUUAAGAUUUUUAGGAGCACUUUUCAAAGUAACUGCUUUAAUAUCCUCAUUAUGAUCAACAAGGAAUUUCAAAAGUUCCAAAAGGUUUCCUUGGUUACUAGAAUCUUCAUAUUUAUCAUGACCACGAAAUGCAAUCCCUUGUCUUAAAAGAAACCGAACACAAUCAGCAGAUGCAGUCAAGUGAAUUCCAUACUAACUUUGUGUUUGGUUUAAUUGUUUGGAGAAAUUGUUUCAAUAUGUCCCUUUGGUUUAGUAAGGCUUCACAUUUACUUCAAGCAUGAUUAUGGGCAAUAAAAGGGCCUUCAACAUGAAUAUUGAGUUUUUCUUUCUUUUUCCAAUUUGAGAACUCUUCACUAACAAAGGAAUCACCGCUUGCUUGUUCUCUAAUAUCCAGUUUGAAUCAUAAACAAAAUACAACAUAAACAAAAUACAACAUCUUCUACUAUGCUAUAUUAUAACCAAUUAGCAUAUUCACUAAACCAAGUAGGAUUGAAUCAUCGUAAUGUUUCCCAAAUUUUUUUAAAGAAGAAGUUAUAUUUUAACAAGGACCCUUUUCAAAUAUGCUCUUCGAAACUUGAUCUCAAACAUUAGGAUUGUAAUCCAAUAUCUAUAUUCAUAACCCAAGAUCUACAAGAAGAUCCUCUAAGUUGAUUUCAAUUCAACUUUGUUUUAAAUCUCCACUAUUUCUUUUGGAAGGGCCAACAAUUCGAAUUAUGAUUUUCUUUUAAAGUAUUUCUUCAUAACCGUUCAAGAUUUGAUUUAUAUAUAAUUAAUGAUAUUGUCAAACUUAAAAAAAUAAUAAUACUAAAAAAAAUAAAAACUUGUUAAUAUAUUAUUUAUUUUCACAAGUAUUUAACAUUCAAUAAAAGUUAACUAAUGAAUUUUACCAACAAAUUUUAAUAAUAUGUUUAUAACAUUAAUCCAGCAACAACAAAUUUAAUAAUAAACUCUCCACAUAAUGUGUUUUUUUUAAUGCAAUACUUUUUUUUGCAUAUUCAUCAUUAUAUCAUACAAAAAUUAUAUAAACUAAAUACAUAAUAUUAAUUAAAUAAAAAGAUAAAUAUCAAUAAACUUUUCGAUAACAAUAUAUUUUAUUUCACAACAAAUUCUCAUGGUAUUAAUCUAAUAUGAAUAAAAAAUGUAAAAUGUCAAUAUAAAUUUCAACAAAAAUAUAUUUUAUUCCACAAUAAGCUCUCGUGGUAUUAAUAUGAUAUGAAUAAAAAAUAUAAAAUGUUAAUACAAAUUUCAACAAAAAUAUAUUCUAAAAAUUCAUUAUCAUAGCAUAUUUAAAAAAUUAUAUAAACCAAAGGAUAUAAUAUUAACAUAUUAACAUCAAAUUUCAACAAGUUUCAUUUUUUCAAUAACAAAUUUAACAUUAAAUACUAAUGAUUAAUAUUAACAAUAAACUCUAAAAAAAUUAAAAAAAAAACAUAAAUUUAUGAUUUAUUUAUAGGAUAUUUGAAUAAAAUUUAAGAGAUAUGUAAAUGAAAUAAAACUUUAAUUUUUUUUCUCUAUCUUCUAUAGUGCUAUUCUACCUGUUUUUCCCCCUUUCCCUCCCCCUAAAACACUAUUUCGAAUAUGAAGUGAUUGAUACUUGGGAGGCAGAAGGCAUGAGGCUAUGAAUUGUAUUUUUUUUAUAUAUUUUUUUUCUUCUGGAAACACAUUUACUACCUAUACAAGUUUUGUUAAAUCAAACUAACUUUGGGCUUUAGCCUAAUGGUCACACUUUCACACCUCCCCGAGCACCUUGGGCCCUAGUUGGCUCUAAUCCUCUUUUAGAGGUUGGGGAUAUGAGUAGAAGAACUCUACUCUAAUAUAAUAAGUAACCGCAUCCCUCAUAUUAUUAGGGAAUUUGAUUCUUUUUGUUGUAUUUGUUCAUUGAGAUUGUUAAUUAGUUAGAUCUCAUCCAUUGUUCAUAUACCCCUUGUAAACAAAGUCUUUCUUGCCACAAAGAAUUUAAUCGCUUGAUCUUAUCAUAUUGACUCCCUCCCCCCUGGCCCAUUGAGCCCUAGUUGGCUCCAUUCUUCUUUGGGAGGUUGGGGAUAUGAGUAGAGGAACUUUACUCUAAUAUAAUAAGUGAAUGUGUUCCUAAGAUUAUUGAGGAAUUUGUUUCCUUAUGUUGUAUAUAUUCACUGAGAUUGUUAAUUAGUUGGAUUUCAUCCAUUGUUCAUAUACCUCUUGUAAACAGAGUCUUUCCUGCCACAAAUAUUUGAAUCAUUUGAUCUUAUCAUAUUGACUAGGUCUUCUGGCUCUUAAAGGCCUGUAACAUAGUUAUCUCGACAUUCCAUAGUUGCUUGAUCAAGCUCCAGUUAUGGUUGUUAGUUUCAGAGAGAAUGCAUAGUAGACUACACAAUAAAAAUUUAAAUUUUUAGAUCUUUUAAGAUUUUUGAAAAAUACCUAAACUUGAAUAUUUUCAAGUAUGAUGCCAAUCGAUGAAGGGAAAAUCUCAAUAACCACUAAUUUUUCACCAUGAUGACUCAAACCACAAUUAUCUUGCACAAGAUAGUGUGGACAACCUCUUGGGAAAGAAGACAAUGGAGGAAGAGAGAAAAUAAAGGCUCUCAAUUGAAAGUGUGUGCAUAUGUUUAACCCUAAACCCAUAAUGAAUUUAUAUAAAGAUAUAAAUUGGCUUUAGUUAUUAAGGGUCCAUUGGUUAGGCUUAGAUAACUAAAGACCCAUUAGUCAACGUAAGUAACUAAUAUCCCAUUAGUUUGAGUAUAAGUUAAAUAAAAGCAUACUAACUAAUAAAUAGAACUAGUACUUGUCUAAUUAAAUUUCAUGCUUUGGUGCAUCCUUAUGAGACCAGUGCACCCUAUUACACUUUGAUGAGAUCCCAAAUUAACUUGAAAUCUUGAUAGGAUUAAUUGGACCUAUCUUAAUGAGUUUGAAGUCUCACAACUAAUCUCUAAUUGGAAAAUGUUGUUAUGACUCUUAUUUUUUGGAUUGAAAGUAUUUUUAAAUAUAUUUCAGGAUAAUUUAAUUGAUUUAUGGAGUUUUGGAGGAAAGUAGAAAAGAAAUAUGGGGAUAAACUAAGAGAAAGGAGAAAAGUGCAAGAUGACAUACCCUUGAUAUGUGCUCGAGCAAGUGGGUGCACUCCUCUGAUGUGCCAAGAGGAUUUGGCAGACCUAUCUAAGUAAAGAAAGCAAGGCAUGACAAAUUUUUAGUUUAAAAGAAUGGUGCAUCUUAAGAGAACUUAAGUGAUUAAAGGGUGGCACAACUAAAAGACAAUUAAGUUGGCACACCCUUGGUUUGAGAAGGUGACACACCCUUCCUCAACAUAAGUGGCUCACCUUCUAAAUGCACUUAAGAGAAGAAAGAGCUACAACACCUCUAUAGCGCUUAACUGGAACACCCACUUAGUGCUCUAGACUUAUAAAAAAACUAAGUGAACCAAUGAACCUUUUUUUCCCCUCCAUGAACAUGUGGCACACCAUGUCAACUAAAGUACAUCAUCAACAACCGUGAAUGGAUGGCACACUAAUAUAAAGUCCUAGUACAUGCGCCAAACCUCAAUGCUCUUAAAGCCAUCAUUAUUUGACUACCACCAUGCUUUCUAUCAUAACCUUUUCAUGGGAAUGCAAGCUAACAAUAAAGAGUGUUGUAACAAUUCAAAUAAAAGAAAGGAAUUCCUACAUGCUAAUUAGUAGAUAUGGUGAAGCCAUCAACCCUCUAACUUGUUUCUUGACAUGUAUGUUAGGUGAUUCAAUAUCUGUUUAGGGCUUAAAAGUGCAUGUAUCUAAGAUCCUAGGUAUAAUGGAAGCUAUAAAAAACUAAACUUUAGCUCCUUAGGAUGUGUUGAAACUAUACUUGGGGUUUGAAUAUUCUUAAAUCCAAAUUCACCCACAAUAGAGAUUUUAAAACCUUGUGAUCUUUCAUCUAAUGACUCUCUCCUGAAACUAGGCACUAGAGAAAGGUGGGUUUCUCUCUAUAGGGAUGGGGGCUAGGGUUCCUUCUCUUUGGAAGACAAAAUAGCUAAAAGAUACAAACCUUAAAUCCUAAAGGGGUUUAUAUAGGCUUACCUAUGAGCUUAAGUAACGAGCUCAUCUUAGGGUUGGAUCACUUAAUCUAACUUACUAGCUCCUAAUUAAUUAAUUACCUUUAUUAGGCUUGAAUUAAUUAAUUAGCCUAAUUUAGCAAGCCCAUUCAUAAACUCAUGUGUAAGCUUAUGUUUUUACCAAAAUGUCGUAAUGCACACUUUUGAAUAAAAAUAUUGAGCUCGUGCCAAAGUUUGCAGUGACAUUUACCUACGAGUGAGACCCUAUGAUGGUCAUAUAUUCCCUAUGGAUUAGGUUAUUAUUGAUGGAAUCCAGUGACAAUAUGUAUUCUCAAAUAAAGACACCAUGAUAUCUUAUGGAGAUUGAGAUAGUUUGUCUCCUUGGGUGAUUAUAAGGAAAAGUGUUCAAGAAAUCAAUGAUCGUUAUAGUUCUUUAACUAGAACAAGACACAAACUCUUUGAGAGUUGGAGUAUGUCGGUUGAUCAAAUAAUAGGAGGACCUAAACUCAAGGAUUAUCAAGGUAAUCUUAAGAGUUUAAUAGCAUUCACCUUUUUAGAUUAUGAACACCGAUUCAUAAGAUGCUUGCAUACAGUGGAUUACUGGUCACGAACUCGAGCACUUAAUAUACCUUGUUGUACUAUACAUAGGAUAUUAGAGUGCAGUUAACUCUCUAUAAUAGGAUGUUGAUUCAACUUUAAAAUUAGAUUUUGAGAGAGUCAAUAUUUGCCAAUAGGUUCCAAUUGUCCCUCAUAGAACUCAUAUUCCUUGAUGACACAAUUUAUGAGAUUUAUUUGGAUUCUUUAUUCACUUAUGUGCAUAAGAGAGUUUUGGUAAAUACACAAGAUUGCACAAGAGCUAGUGAAUUAUCUCUUAGGUAGGGCUAAAUGAUUAACUAGUGCCUAAUUGGGUUAAUUAAUCAAUUAGGACCUAAGUUAGUUUAAGUGACCCAAACUCAAGACGACUUUAAGUCACUUAAGCCUCUUGGAAGCUUACAAAUACCUUAUAGAAAUGUUAAGACUUCAGUCUUUUGAUAGUUUUCUUAUUCAUAUAUAGAUAUAGAAAGAGAAAGAGAGCUCUAGCCACAGUGGGUUCAUGAGAUCUAUAAUUUCUGCACUAUCUACUGUGUUUUACAUCAAUUCUUCACCAACUAGAUUAGAUUUAGGAAUAUCCAAAUCUUAGGUAAAACACUAAACUUUAAAUCCUAGAGUGUUUUUGACAUCUAUUGCUUCCAUUACUAGGAUCUAUAGAGCUUAAGAAGUAUUGUAUGCACCCUAAUUGGUCUUAGGAUAAGGAAUUAAGUGAUCUAGAUAUUCCUAGCAUUUUAGACUAAGACAUCGCUUCAUUGUUGUCAUAAAACAAGAUCAUCAAUGAUUCCCCUAAAAGAACUACCCUAAGUCCCAUAAGAAAUAUCUUAAGCUAAAUGACUUCCUUUGUUACUUCAAAAGCAACAACAAAGACCACUUAUAGAGUGUACACAUACCUAAAAACAAACUUGCAAGAGUCCUCAUCAAGCAAAAAGUCUAAUUCCUUGUACCCAAGGAGUACAAACUCAUUGUAAAGACACACAAGCCAAGUGAGCUCAAUCACAACACGAAAAAAAAAAAGGGUCCAAACUAAGUGAGUAAUGCUCUAGCAAUGGUGAUAUGAUGAUCAUAGCUAUGACUUGUAUACAUGAGUGUUGAGUUUUAAUUUUAAUUAAGUGUUAAAAUUUAGACACCACUAUGCAUUCGAGCCAAGUCAAUUCACAUGAGUGAAGAUUUUAACACUUAAGACGCAUUAAGUGUUGAAACGUGAUACCUCUCAACAUCAGGGCUACGACUCGUCUACAUGGAUGUUAAACUUGGGUCCUAUUUUAUUUCAGCACUAAAAUUUAGACAUCAUUAUAUAUCUAAGUCAAGACAAUUCGCAUAAGUGAAGAUUUUAACAUUUAAGUCGUAUUCAAUAUGAAAAAUACAACACCACACCAUAUCAAGACUAUGACUAGUCUACAUGGAUGUCGAAUUUUAAAUAUUCAUUUUUAAUGGAUAUUUAGGUUUUUUAAAAAUGUCUCUCAAAGAGCUAAGGUAAUUUUUGAAUAAUUUUGACAUUGGUUUUUUCUUCCAAAAAAAAAAAAAAAAAACUAUAAGGGAAUUUAUCUCUUCAAGCAAUGAAGAUAACACAAGUAUUUGGAGAUGACAGGCUUACUUUAUCCUUAAAAGAAAAGCAAAAAAAAAAAAAAAAAAUACAUAUAUGUAUGUACGUAUAUAGGGAUGCAAUAUAUAUAUAUAUAUACUUUGUGUGGAAAUUUUUUAUUAGGUGUCUCAAAAUUUUAUGUCCUUAUAUAAAAAAAUAAGUUAGGGAUAAAAAAAUUGGGACGAAGAUACAAUGAGAAAAAGAAAUAGAUUUAUAAAUAGAAAACUUUUCUAUUAACAUAGUCUUCUUUUCAUACCAAGUAGAGGAACAAGUGAAAAAAUAAAGCAGUAACUAGAAAAGUGGAAUAGAGAUAUUUGAAAUAGAAAAACUUCUUAUUAAAAUAUUAUGGACCCCGCAUUUCGGCUUAUGCGUUUUUCACUUGAUGGCGAGCUCAAUUUUUAUUUGAAAAUGAUUUUAUUUAUUAAAAAAAAUGACUUGGAGUCGCCACUUAUUUUUGUUUCAUUUUUAAAAUGGUAAACAAAAUAAAAAAUAAAACCCUAAGUGUGACUCCUUAUUUUGGAAAAGGUGGUCUGUGAAAAACCGGAUCAGGGUCGGGGGUUAGGUUACUUAUCGGGAAGGUACAGUAAAGACCAUAGCACCCCUUUAAAUCCCUAAAGUCGGGUCUCUACUAAUAAAAUGAAGUUGAUGUGGCAAUCAAUAGGAAGAUCAAUGGAUACUCAAAUCGAUCAUGCAUAUAUAGGAAUCCAAGCAUGCAUAUAGAAUAACUAGAAUGAGAGUGGAUGCGUACCUAGGCUACGAAUGAGCAAUGCACUAUCAUAAAAAUGGGAUCAGUGUACAAUAAAGAGCACAAAACAUGUCACAUGCAUCACCAAACAGAAAUUAAAACUAUUCGAACGAAAACUGGAUUUUUGAAAUUUAUUUGAAAAUUGGAGUCUUAGAGAUUAUUUGAAAAUUGGAGUUUUAGAGAUUAUUUGAAAUUUGGAUUUUUAGAAAUUAAAUGUAAGAAUGAGAAUAUUAGAAAUUAAAUUUGAAAGAAAUUGGAAAUUUGAAAAUUAUUUGAGAGUUUAGGAUUUUAAAAAAUUAAAUUAUGAAAAUUGGGACUUUGGAAAUUAAAUUUUGAAAGAAAUCAGAAUCAAAAAUUAUUUGGGAAGUAGAAACUAUGAAAAUUGAAUUAUAAAAAAUUGGAAAUCUUGGAAAUCAUUCGAAGGUAGAAUUUUUAGAAAUAAAUGAAUAAAAUGAUAAUAAUAAUGAUUUUCGAAAAUUGGAAAUUGAACUUAGGGAUUGGAAAUUUAAAGAAUUAUUUAGGGAUGAAAUUUUAAAUAAAUGAACAAGUGGAUAAAUAAAUGAAUAGAAUAACGAAAAUAAUAAUGAUUCGACAAAUAAUUACGAAGAUGGGAAUUUUGGAAAUUAGAAAUUGAAUUUAGAGAUUGGAAAUUUGAAGAAUUAUUUAGAGAGGGGAUGUUAAAUAAAUGGAUAAGUGAAUAAGUAAGUGAAUGGAAUAACGAAAAUAAUGAUUGGAUAAAUAAGUGUGAAAAGUAGAAUUUUAGAAAUUGGAAAUUCGAAGGAUUAUUUAGAUAUGGAAUUUUAAAUAAAUGAAUAAGUGAAUAAAUAAAUGAAUUGAAUAAUAAUAACGACGAGAUAAUAAAGAUUAGGUAAAUAAUUACAAAAAAUAGAAUUUUAGAGAUUGGAGAUUGAAUUUAGAGAUUGAAAAUUUGAGAAAUUAUUUAAAGAUGGGAUUUUAAAUAUAUGAAUAAGUGAAUAAAUAAAUGAAUGAGAUAAUAAUUGUGAAACCAAGGUUUGGUUAAUCUUGAUUUUGAUGAUAACAAAACAAAGUUUAGAACUAAUGAUUAUAUUUCAAGUGUGAUUAGGCAAGAUGAUUUCCAAAGUGGCAAUCACAAAGACAAAUCAAGCCAAGGAGAAAUCAUGAAGAAGAAGACCACCUCAAAGAGAAGUGUUUUUCAAAGACCCAAGCUUUAUAAGAUCUCUUUGUAAGGAAAGACUCAAUUAGUGGAACCUCAAGUUCGGGAUUGAAGCUAGAGGAGAGUGGAUGUAGGCCGGGUUGCGCCAAACCACUAUAAACUCUUGUGUUUGCAUUCUCUUUUCCCUACUCUUUUAAUUUAUAUGCAAUUGUCUAUAUAUUACUUAUUAUAUACUUGCAUAUAAUUGUCUCUUGCAUUCACUUGUUUAAAUUUGAGAAAAGAGACCAUCACCCUAUUCACACCCCUCUCCCCCUCUUCUAGGGUGAUUACCAUAGGUUGGAUUAACUUAAUUUUUCUAACAAUAAUAAUAACGAAAAUAAUCAUUAAACAACUGAAUGUGAAUAGUGGAAUUUUUGAAAUCAGAAAUCAAACUUGGAAGACGGAAUUCUGAAAAAUUGUUUAAAGAUGGAAUUUUUAAAAUAAUAGAUAAAUAAAUGGAAUAAUAAUAAUAAUAAUAACGAAAAUAAUACUUAAUGAAUGAACAUGAUAGUGGAUAUUUGAAAUCAGAUUAAAUUUGGGAGACGGAAUUUUGGAGAUUUUUAAGAUAGAAUUUUUAAAAUAAAUAAUAAAUAAAUAAAUGGGANNNNNNNNNNNNNNNNNNNNNNNNNNNNNNNNNNNNNNNNNNNNNNNNNNNNNNNNNNNNNNNNNNNNNNNNNNNNNNNNNNNNNNNNNNNNNNNNNNNNAAUAAUAAUAAUAAUAAUAACGAAAAUAAUACUUAAAUGAAUGAACAUGAAUAGUGGAAUAUUUGAAAUCAGGAAUUAAAUUUGGAAGACGGAAUUUUGGAAGAUUUUUAAAGAUAGAAUUUUUAAAAUAAAUAAAUAAAUAAAUAAAUGGAAUAAUAAUAAUAGUAACGAAAAUAAUAAUUAAGUGAAUGAACGUGAAUAGUGGAAUUUUUUAGAUUGGAAAUUAAAUUUGGAAGACGGAAUUUUGAAAAAAUUGUUUAAAGAUGGAAUUUUUAAAAUAAAUAAAUAAAUGAAAUAAUAAUAAUAAUAACGAAAAUAAUACUUAAACGAAUGAAUGUGAACAGUGGAAUCUUUGAAAUCGGGAAUUAAAUUUGGAAGACGGAAUUUUGGAAGAUUGUUUAAAGAUAGAAUUUUUUAAAAUAAAUAAAUAAAUAAAUGGAAUAAUAAUAAUAGUAACGAAAAUAAUAAUUAAAUGAAUGAACGUGAAUAGUGGAUUUUUUUUUAUUUGAAAAUUAAAUUCGGAAGUCAGAACUUUGAAAAAUUGUUUAAAUAUGAAAUUUAAAAUAAAUAAAUAAAUAAAAAUGAUAAUAAUAACGAAAAUAAUAAUGAUUAAAUAAAUAAAUGUGGAAAUUGGAAUUCCGGAAAUUGAAAAUUAAAUUUAGAAAUCGGAAUUUUAAAGAAUCUUGAUUUGAGAAUUAAAUUUUUAAAGAAUGGGUUUUGGAAUUUAGGAAAAUUUGUUUUGAGAAUUAAAUUUUUAAGAAAUUAAAUUUGGAAAUUUUAGAAAACUAUUUGAGAAUUGUAUUUUAAAAAUUAAGUUUGGAAAAUUAUUUGAAAUUAAAUUUUUAAGAUUAAAUUUGGAAAACUAUUUUGAGGAUUGAUUACAUAAUAAACUGAAAUGACUAGAAUAUAAUAACAUGGAAUUAAUUUAACUAAGAAACUAGAAUUCUAAACACUCAACAACUAAACAAGACUAAUAAGAACAAUAAUUAAAUAAAUAUAAAUAAGAAUAAAGUUAUCAACUUAGAAACACAAAUAUAAUGACAUGGAAUUAAUUAGGCUAAGAAACUAAAACUCUAAAACAGAACAUUUAUGGAUCAAAAUUAAAAUUUUCAUAUUUAAAACAUGAGAACAAUAACUUGCAAUUGACUAAGUUAAUUAACUAAAACUAUAAAAACUCAACUAAAUAUUUAUGCAUCCAAGUUAAAAGAAAAUAACAAACUUGAAACACGAAAACAAUGAUUUAAUUGACUAAAUUAAUUAACUAAAACUCUAAAAACAAUAACAAACUAAAAAUAAAAUAAAUAAAUAAUAAAAAAACGAAGGUUGCAAUUUUAAAACUUAUCUUAGCAAGACGGACCAUAGCGAAGAAAAAACCAUCUUUGGGUCCUUCAAAACUGAGGAUGAUGCCUGUUAGAAGAAUUUCCUAUCUCUUGCCCCCACCAUCUCCAAUCCUUCCAGCUUCAACAGAUGACAUAAUAAACAUGCCCAGACCAAUAGCUGUAGCAACCAACACAAAAUCCUUUCUACAACCAAGACAGAUUUCUCUCACACUUCCUCAAACAUCAACAACAUAGUUUCUUCAACCCAAGAGACGGGUCUCGAUUGAAACCCUUUUCCCUAAAUUUAACUCACACAUGAUCACGCCCCUUACCACUGAACUAAAGAGUAGAGGUACAAUGGGCAAUCAAUCCUUAUGAGGAACCCAUAUAGGAUACAAUGUAUAUCAAGGAUUUUCUCUCCACUGCCAGGGCCGAGAACAACAUCAGGUGCAACAGUAUAGGCAACACCAACUGCCAUGAGGAGCUAUAGUAAAUUCAUGGAAGCAAGUUCAUUGAGGCCAAAGCUUUCCUUCAUGAGGGACCCAAAAAAAAUUCUGUACUAUACCCCCUUAGCAUACGUGUUGAAGUAUAUCUUCUUCAAGGUGGCUAUCUCCUCCCAAGUGGAUUGAGUUCUUCCUUUUUUGGAUGAUUGUAGAGAGUCUUUUCAACAUGCAACCCUCUCCAAAUUUCUCAAGCAUAUCAGAGCACAAACUAGAGGAUAUCAUCCAGAAACGGAGACACAAAUUUGAUAUCUGGAAGCUCUCCUCUUUAGCAAGAUUUUCUAGGCUUCUCGUUUCUGUUUUCCUUCCUCUCCAAAAAAAAAAAAAAAAAAAACAGACGGUCUCCCACCGUGUCUCUCCCUCUUUUUCUGCUGAAAAACCCCUUAAUCCCGCCGAGCCACCUGCUUCCAUCAAUCCAUCUGUUCCACUGUUCUUAAUUUGGCGAAGACGUCACCAACCCAACCACCACCAUGGCAAGGUGGUGACGUCCUUUGCCACACGUCUCAACAUGCAGCUCAUACGGAAGUCGUCCCUCACCCCUUCAAAAAAUAUAAAUGUUUGGCUUCUUAGGGUGGCCAGCAAGGGGUUUACAAAUAUGCCCCUCUUCGGUAGAGUUCACGAGUGUAAGGAAUAUGAACACUAGAGUGAAAAGAAAGUGUGAAUAAUGAGUGUAACAAAGUGACCUCUACCGAAGAAAGGAAAGACCCCUAAAGGUACACAAGUAGAACACAAACUUGCUCAAACCAAUAAAGGAACAAAAGGGGUUCUAAAAUCCUAAAAGGAGGGUAGCUCUCAGAGAGUCUCUAAAGUUGCGCUAUCGAUCUAGACUCCCUCUAAAAUGUCUCCAAGAGUGACUAAAAGAUCAAUGUCAAAGAUGAAUAACGGUCGAACCACCUUGGAGAAUAGGAAAGAAUGCAUCCAAAGGGCACUAUCCUAUGUGAACUACAUGAGAACGCCAAGUGUAGGGUGCCCAAUCAACUUGACCGAAAUAUGUGUCGCGAACUCAAAGGACUAUGUCAUGUGCGGUGGAAGGGGAGGUCUAGAAGAGCAUGAUGAACAAGCGAUAAGCACAAGGUAACGAGGUGAGGAAAAGGAGGACGAAUGUAAAAUCGCGAAGGCAAGAUGUGCGAUGCUAGUGAAUAAUGAAUGCCAGGAGCUAUGACUUUGAAUGGUAAGGCUGAGGAAAAAUGACUCUAAUUGCCAAAAUGAGGAAAUGUGGUGACUCAAAAUGUCGGAAUUAGUAUGCACAACGACUCUGAAUGUCAAAACUAAAGGAAGAUGGUGGCAACGAAUGCCAAGCUGGACAAUGGCUCUGAACACCCAAAUUGAAGAUGCGACUCUGAAUGCCAAACUGAAGAAGAUGAUGGCUCUAAAUUCCAAACUGUGAAGGGAUAGUGACUAUGAACUCCAAGUUGGAGAUGCGGCUCUGAACGUCAAACUGAAGAAGAUGAAGGCUUUGAAAGCCAUAAGUGAGAACUGACAUCUCUGAAUGUCAAACUGAGAAAGACGACUCUGAACGUCGUAACUGAGAAGCGAUGAUGGCUUUGAACGCCAAACUGAAAAGGGAUGGUGGCUCUGAACAUCAUAACUGAUAAGAGAUGGUGGCUCUGAACGCCAAACUGAAACAACGGCUCUGAACGCUGAAAUGGAGGGAAUUGGUGAUGGAUUUGGAUGUCGAGCGACAGAUAAACGUAAGGAUUUUGAGUGUCGAAUUGAAAAUGUGGCUUUGAACGCCAAACUAGAAGACAUCGACUUUGUACAUCAAACUAAAGAUGCGGCUCUAAAUGCCAAAUAAAACAAAAUAUGGCUCUGAACGCUGAAUUGAAAGUGUGGCUCUGAACGCCAAAUUGAAGACAAGUAAUGGCUCUAAACGCCGAACCGAAGAUAAGUAAUGGCUCUAAAUGCCAAAAUAAAUGAUGUAAUGGCUCUGAAUGUCGAACAAAGAUGUGACUUUGAACGCCAAAUGAAACAAAACAUGGCUCUAAACACCAAACUGAAGACAAGUAAUGGCUAUGAACGCCAAACUGAAGGUGUGGUGGCUCUGGAUGUCAAAAUGAAACUGUGGCUCUGAAUACCAAACGAAAAAUGGACAAUGGCUCUGAAAGCCAAACGAAAAUGUGCAACGACUCUGAAUGCCAGACAAAAAAAAGAUCAACGACUCUGAACGCCAAACGAAAAUGUGCAAUGACUCUGAACGCCAAACGAAAAAAUGAUCAACAACUCUGAACGCCAAAUGGAAAAUUGCUCUAGAUAUCGAAAUGAAUGUGUGAAAAAUGACUUUGAACACCAAACUGGAGAUGUAGCUUUGAACGUCGUAACUGAAAAAUGAAUGGUGGCUCUAAACGCCAAACUACAAGGAUAUGAUGAGAGGAAAAUAUGCCCCAGUGUAGUAUGCCGCCACAACUCUCAAUCCACUAGAAGGGUCUAAAAAAGACUCCAUGAGCCUCGAAAGAUGCUCUGCUAGCUAGUCGGAACGAUCAAAUCAACUAUAAACAUAGCCUCGUAACCCAUUCGUCUGAAUCACGAGGCCUAACGAGAUGUCAUAAUGAGUCAAACGUUUCUAGCUCGAAAUGUUCUGCUGGAGGAAUCCAUCGUCAUCUCAAAUGGGUGAUCCAUUGGGGAGUCUCAAGAGAAUAAUCCGCUAGGGUAACUACCACGAUUUCAUCAAAACUAUUUGCAGGGUCAUGUAUAGUGGGACAAUCACAACCUGAACGUCAUGCUCCACUGAAAGCUCAUCUCGAUGAAAAUCAUAGGAAUAGUGACCGGUGAAGCAAAUACGAUAUCUCUCGGUCGAGUGAUGAAAAAUGUAACAUAUCUGCGAGAGAACGAUCAUCUCCAUAGCUAAAUGAGGGAAUAUGCCCCAGUAUGACAUCAAAUGUACCCGGUCUGUCCUGAUAACUCAAGAAUAACUCCAUUGUGAUGCAUAAGAGAUCUGACAUGUACUCCACUGAAAUGGUGAUGUGGGAACCUAUGUGCUUGGAGUAACUCUACCCAAGAAUCAUGACUAUAUUAGAAAGUAUGAGCCUGAAGAAAUGACUCAAGAAAGGCUCAAUUGAAGAAUCAGGACAAAAUGAAAUCGAAUCAUCAAUCUAGCGUGUAUCUCGUAAUUGGGGAUGAUCAUGCAAAUCAGUGGGGAUCUACAAAUCUCGACCAAAAACGGAAAUAUGUCCCAGUACGACAUCAAAUGUGUGAUAGGUCGGAAAAAUCAAGUGACCUCAAGUCAUCCAUCAUCCAUCAUCAAACAUGCAAUCCUAGUCAUCAACGUCCAUAACUGAAUCAUACCCAUAGAUCCAAGAGGUAUCUCUCGGAAGGAGAAACAUGAUGACAUCUAAGUGUCGAGAAGUGCAAGGCUAACUGAAGGGCUCCCAAGAGGCUCCACUAAGGAAUCAUCGUAAAAAUAGCAAAUAGAUCAUCGUCUUGGCGUACAUCUCGCAAUUGGGGAUAAGCGUGCAACUCCAUCAAGAUCUAUAAAUCUCAUCCAGGAUAGAAAUAUGCCCCAAUAUGACAUCGAAUAUACAGUAGAUCAGAAAUCAGGUGACAUGGAAUCAUCUAUCAUCAAACAUGUGAUCUCCGUGAUCCAAAUCAAAUCCAAACAUCUAGGGAACGUAUCUCAGGAUAAGAAGCAUGACAGCAACCAAAUGCUGAGAAAUGUGGGCCUGGCUUAAUGGCUCAACAGAGGCUCCACUUAGGGAUCAUCAUAAAAUAGCGAACCGGUCAAUCAUCACAGUGUACAUCUCGCAAGUGGGGAUAAGCAUGCAACUCCGUGAAGAUCUGUAAAUCUCGCCCGAAAUGGAAUAUGCCCCGGUAUGACAUCGAAUAUAUGAUAGAUCAGAAAAACAGGUGACAUAAAAUCAUCCAUCAUCAAACGCAUGAUCCCGAUAAUCCAAACACAACUGUGGACCCGUAUUUUUCACGUGCGUCCCCACUCGAUCGGCAAGACUCGCUUUUUAUUUGUGAAAAAUUAAUUUUUGGAAAAAAGUUUGAGCCGCCACUUAUUUUAUUUUUAUUUUAAAGGGAAAAUAAAACAAGAAACAAAAACCCUAAAAUGUGACUCCAUAAUUUUUGGAAAAAACAUGUCUUUGAAAAACCCGAGUCUAGGUCCAGGGAUCAGGUUACUUAUUGGGAAGGUACCUUUAAAAGGUAGCACCCAUCUAAGCCCUACAAAGGUCUCUACUGACAAAGUUAAGUGAAGUGUGGUAAUUAAUCAGUUAAUUAUAGAUACCUAAAUAGGCUAGGUGAUUUUAAAUAUUGCAUGCCUAACAAGAAAACAAACCAUAAGAGAGAGUCGAAGUGCGUACCUGAAUGACUUCUCAAAGCGCUAUCAUAAAACAUGAAAGUUAGUGUAGGAAUCUAUCACACAACAUAUGUCUUAUCCGGGCAAAUCUAAUAUAUAUUUAAACACCCAAGAGUCACAUCAUGCAUGGAUGUAGUCACCAAUAGCGUACUUGUCUAUAGAAUUCUCGAAAAAAAAAAGAUGAGGAGCGUACCUGGAUAGCAAGCUAAAGCGCCUUUAUGGGAAGCAAGGUUAGCCCAAUAACAAAUAUAAAACAAAUUCAAGCAUAUCUCCAAAAGGAAUCAAGAUUAAUUAAAUACCAAAAAAUCAUUUUUAAAAUCAAUAAUAGUGAAGAUAUCAAGAAUGUAGGACCCCCCACCAAAGUCCAUAUUACUUUUGCACGAAUUGAUUCAAUGAAUUCCAUUGUUUGGAAUCAUGAAGCUUGUUCAUGCUUGUUGAAAAUCGAGAAAAAUCAAGAAAAUCGGUUGAAAAUCAAAUAAAAUAGUGAAAAUGCAUGCCAUAAGGAAAAUGGCAGUAAGAGUGUGUUAGAAUAUGGAUUUUAUACCUAGAAAGGACCUAAGAUGAAUUUUUCAAAGCCAGGAAUGUUUAGUUGAACAAUGGUUCAAAAAUUCAAUUUAAAACAAUAAGUUCCCAAUCAAAGAAGCAAACAGAGGAAAAAAUGUGUAUAGCAAGGUUGCUGUCAACCCCUUAGCCACUUGAUUCAGACCCGGAGAAAUAAGCCUCAUGGGUAGGCCUUGCACCCAUGAGAGCCUAGGCGAAAAGCAAGGAAAGCCUGGAGGUUUGGUGGUUCAAACCCCAGGAGCUAAGUGUGGGGAUCGCGGACAAGUCAAGGGCGCACUCCGAAUAGGCGUUACCAAAGGAUCCGGACAUGUCUACCCGGGGAAGUUGAAUCGUCCUCAUCUCCUGUCCGGCGACAGGGUUCCGAAUGUGAGAUAUCCUGGUGGAUGGAAUGUCAGCGGACAGGAUUCCGGAUGUGAGAUAUUCGGGUGGAUGGAAUGUCGGCGGACAGGAUUCCGGAUGUGAGAUAUCCGGGUGGAUGGAAUGUCGGCGGACAGGAUUCCGGAUGUGAGAUAUCCGGGUGGAUGGAAUGUCGGCGGAUUGGAUUCCGGAUGUGAUAUAUUCUGGUGGAUGGAGUGUCGGCGGACUGGAUUCCGGAUGUGAUAUAUCUGGGUGGAACGAGGGUGGAAUGAGCUGUGAUUCCCGUUCGGGUGGAAUGAACUGUGAUUCCCGUCCAGGUGGAAUGAGUUGUGAUUCUCGUCCGGGUGGAAUGAGCUAUGCCAUGCGUCGAAAGGGGGGCGGUCUGCGCGACCAAGAGAGAGGGAGCCACGUGGCAAUUUUUGGGGAGGAUCCCACAUGUUUAACCCCAAGAAAACCCGUUUUACACAGCCUUUAUCAAGUUCCCACCUUUCUCGGAAUGCGCAUGGUCUCCAUAUCCGAGAAUACCAAGGUAAAGAAAGGGGAAGAAACGUAGAUACAGAAGCACACAAAAAGACCAAGAAAGAAAAGAAAGAAAAACAGGGGAAAAGAAGACAGUCGGUGGGUAUUUUGAAGCUAGAUUGGGACAUAAAUGGGGGCAAGACCCAUUCAAAGGUAAACCUAUAUUCAGAUUGCUUUCAGAUGGAACCAAAGACAUUAAAAAGAAUAUUAAAAUAGCAUAAACAUGCAAGCAAACCAGUCUCAACUAAUCAAAUUGUGGCCCUUGUGUCCACACCAAACGACAAGAAUAAAUCUUCAGAAAACUAAGAAGUCAGGAAAGAUUGAAACUAAAUGGUGAUAUAGAAAAAAUCUGGAAACAUACCUACACGUUCUCCUCUCCAAUUGCUUGGUUCCAGGCUGCUGCACCUUUUCCCGACUGAGAAAUCUGCUCCCCAAACCUUUUUCCGUCCACCAAUCUUCUCCCUCUCUAUACGUGUUCCAAGUCCCUCUCUUCUAUGCCUCUCUUCAAGACGAUCCUCUCAUGCCUCCUCUUUUCCUUUUCUCCUUAUAUUCGUAUUAGCCUCUCAAACUCAAUCUGCUCAAGAGAAUCUCAUUUCCUUUCUUCUAUUUCCCUUCCUUUUUCAAAAAUCAGAAUGUUCAUCUCCUCUCAUGCAGGAUAUUCUCUUUCCAUAUGUAUGCAGCCACAUUAAUUCCUUUUUCCUCACAAAAUAUUUCUCUUAACUUUUUUAGUGCACAUACCUUAGUGAGAGUUGAACAGCAACCCCUAUUCUCUUAUUAAACAAUAAAAAAACGAUAAUAGAGAGAAUAAAAACAAAAAAGAGUUAGCAAUCUUGCAACCUAUCAAAGAUUAAAAUAAAAUAAAAAUAAAUAAAAUAUAACAAAAUAAUUGAGUAAAAUAGUCAAUCCUAUGCGGGUCAUGCAAGUCACACAAAAAGUGAGUCUAAAAGUGCCUACUGGGCCAAGUGUGUCUAAAUGGGCCUAGAGCGGUGCCUAAUGGGCCAAGUGUACCUAAAAGUUAUCCUAAAAAUGAACGAAAAAAACCUAAGUUUAAAUUAGGGCUGCCAAGAGUCAUAAUAAGGGGUCAGAUAAUCCCUCAACCAAAGUCUCCGAGGUGACUCAGAAAAAGGUAAGCCGUAUGAGUAGUAAUAGGCCACCAAGGAACUAUUUUGAAGCACUGAAAACAAACUUAAAGUCAUGUGCUAAAGGGACAAAAUUGAAGGUUUACAAAUAUGCCCCUCUUCGGUAUAGAUCACGAGUGUAGAGAAUGCGAGUAGAAACACGAGUAAUGAGCGAAAUGAAGUGAACUAUAUCGAAGAAUUAAAGAAAGACCAGAGAUUUUGUCCUAGCACAUGAAGAGGUAAGAUCAAAAGAUGGGGUCUCAAUGACAUGGAUGGGACAACUCUAUGUGGGGGGAAAUGGCAAUAAAGAGAGAAGGCAUGUGACGAGUAGCACAAAGAUGGAAAGAGGUGAAAAGGACGACUCGAAGUCAUGGAUGAGAUGAAUGAAUCUAGGUCAUGGACAAGAUGAACGACUCUAGGUCUAAAAUAGGAUAAACGACUCUAGGUCGUGAGCUCAGGGCUCUAAAUGGAAAAGAAAUGACUUUGGGUUAAGAUGGAAAACAACUCUAGGUCGAGAGCUCUAGGCUCUAAAUGGGAAAGAAUGACUCUGGGUCAAAAUGGAAAAUGACUUUGGGUCGAGAGCUCUGGGCUCUAAAUAGGAAAUAAUGACUCUGGGUCAAAAUGAAAAAUGACUCUGGGUCGAGAGCUCUGGGCUCUAAAUAGGAAAGAAUGACUCUAGGUCAAAAUGGAAAAUGACUCUAGGUCGAGAGCUCUGGGCUCUAAAUAGAUAGCCGAUUAGGAUACUUUCUGACUCAAGGUGCCGGGUCGAGGCCACUCACAAGUGGCUGGAAUGAUGAAAACGAAACAUCUCAGGGAUGUGAAUGAUGCAAAUGACUCCGGGUCAUGAGCUCAGGGCUCGGGAUGCUAUGAAUGACUCUGGGUUGUGAUGCAAUGAGUAACUCAGGGUUACGAUGAAUAGCUCAGGUCUAUAGAUGGAAUGAAUGACUCUGGGUCAUGAUGCAAUGAGUAACUCAGGGUUACGAUGAAUAGCUUAGGGCUAUGAGCUCUGGGCUGUAUGACUGAUCGGCUAGAAGGAGAAUGUGAUACACAAACUCCAGGUCAAACCACUCAUGGGCGACCAAAUGAUGAAGGCUCAGCUCAGGACUAGAAAGACUCUAGGUCUAUAGGAAACGAUAGCUCAGGGCUACCAAACUCAGGGCCUAAGGGAAGAAAGACAGUUCAGAGCUAUAAGACUCAGGGUCUAGAAGGGAAGGAUAGCUCAGGGCUACUAGGCUCAGGGCCUAGAAAGAAAUGAAAGCUUAGGGCUACUAGGCUCAGGGCCCAAGGGAAGAAGAAUAAGUCAAGGCUACGAGGCUCAGGGCCUAGAAGGGAAUUAUAGAGAAGACCAACUCGAAAGUGGAUAUGAAAUAAAUGGGCUUAAAGCUGCAUACUCAAAACAACAAGAGUCGGGCUACUGAAAUCAAGAAGGAAAAUAUGCCCUAGUAUCCAGGGUGCUCACACUGCUGAAACAGCCGGUAAUUCAAUCAUCUGCUGAAAUCAAUGGGUCAAGAACCAAAUACGUCACAACAAACCUCUGAAAAGUCAAAACUGAAAGAACUCUCUAUGUUUGAAAAGCUGCUCUGUCUAUGAAUCUCAAAAGGUAAAUCUCAAAGUGUGUAUAUCGUGGCUCAUCUAAAAGCAAAUCUCAAAGUACACAAAAUGGUGCUCAUCAGGAUAACCCAAUAUGCAAGGUAACAAUGGCGGAAACAAAUCUGUCUCAUGAACAUCUAGCUAAAGGAUCCACCCAUGCUCCUCAGGUGAAAUCUGAUAUGAUCCAUCUCUAUCUCAACAAAUCCAUAUAGGGGGGAUCUUGAUACAGUCAAUCAUCGAAAACUCUAGGCUAGUACUUAAUCUGAAACCAAACUGGCUACUGUCCCAGUCUCAAGGAUACUCAAAGAAAAUAGAAAAAUAUGUCCCAGUAUAAGAUCUGAUAUCAAAGUCAUGAGGUAAACAACCGACACUAAUCAUCCAUCCUCAUACCACUGCCCAAACAAAAUCUCGUCAAGGAGAGGGGAAUAUGCCCCAGUAUGGAUAUCUGAUGUCAAAGUCAUGAGGUAAACGACAAACAAUGAUCAUCCAUCCUCGUACCACUGCCCAAACACAAUCUCAUCAAGGAGAGGGGAAUAUGCCUUAGUAUGGAUAUUUGAUGUCGAAGUCGUGAGGUAAACAAACAACAAUGAUCAUCCAUCUAUGCACAAUCUCACCAAUGAGAGAGGAGUAUGCCCCAGUAUGGAUAUCUGAUGUCUAAGUCGUGAGGUAAAAAACCAAUAAUGAUCAUCCAUCUAUGCACAAUCUCUAUAACCAUGAAUAAGGAUAGUCAUAUCGCACAAUAAUAGAUAGGAAUCUCGGGGAAAAAGAGGAAUAUGCCCCAGUGUGAAUAUAUAAUGCACAACCAAAGGAUGAAUCCAACAUCAUCAAUCAACUGUCCUCAGCUCAACAAUAAUCCGCUAAGAAGUCAGAAUGAAGUAUCGACCAAUGCCUCAAGGGAGACACUCUAAAUCUAAUAUCAAAUGAAUAGCCAAAAUGAUGAGGAAUGUGGUAAUCUCAGGAGUAUAAGCACGUCUCUAAUGAAUCCCUAACUGAAUCCAACAUGAAUCUGGUAACCUUGAAAUAGGGGAAUAUACCCCAGUGUACAAGAUCUAUACACUGCAUUGAAAACUGCCUGCAACUCAAUAAUGAUCCACUAGUCUAUCUCAAAAAUACUUUGCAAAUGGAACCUAGAAUCAUAAAAACUAUCAAUAAGCUCAACAAUGCUCCACUAGAACUGAUAUCAUCUCAACAUGCUCCACUGGGGAUCUCUGAUCGAUGAAAAUGCCCAGGCUCAAAGAAAGUGCUCCACUAGGGGCUCAUCUCAACCAAAUGAAAGGGGAAUAUGCCCUAGUAUGGAUAUUUGAUGUGUAGUAGAAUGGGAAGCCAAACAACGUCAAAUAUCAUCCAUAAAAAUGAAGCAAUCGUCUAUAUCCAACACUAGAUCACCUCCAAGCAUCAAAGAAGCAUCUCCUAGAAGAAGAAAUAGAACGACGUCUGUAUAUCAACCAAAUCCCAAACACCAGCCUAAGCAGAGGCUGUCAAAGAUAGCAUCUGAUCUCAUGGCCUCAGGGUGGUCUUAAGACACGGGACGUAACGUAGGCCAGGGUGAUAGGGUGAAAGAAAUGAAGGGAAACUAGGCUCAAAUACCCAAUGAUCAAACCCAUACCCUCAUGUACAAAAUAUAAUGCAUAGAAAAAAUCUCAUGAGCCAUGAACCUAAAGGUAACCAAAGGAAAUGUUGAUGGAGAAACAAGAGAAAGGAUAAUUGGUCAAACCAUCAAUGAAACAUGUGAGUGAUGUGAAGAAGGUAUCGAAUCAGAAAUGUGUAUCAAUAUGUAGGGAAUAGAUAAAAUAUGGAACAAUGAUCUGGAAAGAGGUGAUGGGAUACAAAAUAAGACAAUGAGAAAGUAGAAUGGAUGAUGAUCAACCCAUGAUAGUACAAUAAAGGAAAGUCAUAUCACCAAUGAUGGAAUGGUGGGUAAGACAAUGAUCCGGAGACCCUAGUAAAAAGAUUACUCAUCUCUCAUACUUAAUACAUAUCAACCAUGAUCCAAGAAGCAUAGGAUACCAUAGAACUCUCACAUGACUCCCUAACUCUCCAAAUGCAUAACAAGAGUGGCUCAAGGAGUGAAAACUCAUAUAAAAAUCUCACCAAAACCCACAAUGACAAAUAUACCCAGUAAACAGACCUCAAAAGGUGACAUAAGCACCCAAUUGAGCAAAAUGCCAUAUACAAACAUAUCAUUGCGCUUUUUAUCUUUUUUUUAUUUUUUUUCUUUUUUUUCUUUUUUUUUUUGUUUUUUGUUUUUUGUUUUUUUUUGUUUUUGUUUUUUUUUUUUUGGUUCUUUUUGCGCAUGCUCUAAUCAUCAAUAAAUUGAACUCCAAUGAGAAAGGUAUAAGGAAUGAACAAACUCUCUCAGACCACUGAUGAAUACAUGAACCCCAACCCACGAGACAACCUCUCAGACUAAAAUCUCCGAAUCAAUGCCAAAUAAUGGGAUGGAUGGAGUGAUAUGACUGCCCUCUUUUUGCACCAAGAUGUGAAGAAUCAUCNNNNNNNNNNNNNNNNNNNNNNNNNNNNNNNNNNNNNNNNNNNNNNNNNNNNNNNNNNNNNNNNNNNNNNNNNNNNNNNNNNNNNNNNNNNNNNNNNNNNNNNNNNNNNNNNNNNNNNNNNNNNNNNNNNNNNNNNNNNNNNNNNNNNNNNNNNNNNNNNNNNNNNNNNNNNNNNNNNNNNNNNNNNNNNNNNNNNNNNNNNNNNNNNNNNNNNNNNNNNNNNNNNNNNNNNNNNNNNNNNNNNNNNNNNNNNNNNNNNNNNNNNNNNNNNNNNNNNNNNNNNNNNNNNNNNNNNNNNNNNNNNNNNNNNNNNNNNNNNNNNNNNNNNNNNNNNNNNNNNNNNNNNNNNNNNNNNNNNNNNNNNNNNNNNNNNNNNNNNNNNNNNNNNNNNNNNNNNNNNNNNNNNNNNNNNNNNNNNNNNNNNNNNNNNNNNNNNNNNNNNNNNNNNNNNNNNNNNNNNNNNNNNNNNNNNNNNNNNNNNNNNNNNNNNNNNNNNNNNNNNNNNNNNNNNNNNNNNNNNNNNNNNNNNNNNNNNNNNNNNNNNNNNNNNNNNNNNNNNNNNNNNNNNNNNNNNNNNNNNNNNNNNNNNNNNNNNNNNNNNNNNNNNNNNNNNNNNNNNNNNNNNNNNNNNNNNNNNNNNNNNNNNNNNNNNNNNNNNNNNNNNNNNNNNAUCAUACGACAUCUCAUCCUGAACUGGAUGCUAUCUAUCUCACUAUCCAUUAAUCAUCUGGCUCAAACCUGCUAAUGUCUCUUGAAUAGAGUCAUGGUGACUGUAAUUCGAUCAACUAUAACAUGUUGAAGAUCCUGAUUCGUGCCCACUUGGUGUCUCAGUUGAUUCAUGUCCAGCUGGUGCUCCUUGAUUGAGGGAGUAAUCAACAAAAUUUAUAACCUAUUACACCAUAUACUAGGGUAGCAAAGAAAAAGCUACUAUAACAUAGUGGCUCUAGGAUCGUUCACUAGGAAGAGUUUUCAAAUUACAAAUGAUACCAAUUCAAAGUGAAUUGGUUCUGUUUCAUUUCAAGGUUAGCUUAAGAAAUAAAACACAAACUUUGGUUGAAAAAGAUUAAGAUUUAAGCUAACGGCAAAACAAGUACUGGAAAUUACUUAUGAAGAAAAACAUUCCUUGGAGAUUUAGGAUCAUAGAGGAGGUUCCUCAUGCAAAAACAUAGUUCCAGUCAGUUGGUUCAUUUCCUCGCAUUAGAGAAUUAACAUAUAGUCAAUUCUCUAACCGGUGUUGUACAGAUGCAUCCCUUAAUUGGAUUUCAGCUUUAAUUCCCUCUCACUGAUGCAACUUGCAAUGGUUCGUGCCUCUCACUUAGCCUUUACCAUUCAAGGUGAUCUUUAACCUUGGACUUCCCUUCUCAAGCUCGCAAGAGAUAACUAAUGGAUGUCUCCUUGGAGUCCAAAAGCUUACCAAGUGUUGGCAAUUCUAGAAAAUCCUACCUUCAAGUCACCUCCCAAAGGCUCGCAAAGGGUAAACUAGUGCAUCUCCAUGGACGGAGAUCACUUGCCUUACCAAGUGUUGGCCCAGCUGACUCCAAGGCGUUUUAAGUUAACUAAAAACAUAGAAAUCACUAAAGGAUUACACAUACCUCUUCAUUCAUGGCUAAAACCACAAAGCUAUUCAUUCUUGCACUUGGAACCUUUCCCGGCAACCUUAGCUCCAAGGAACUAAAGGUUUAGUUACUCAUUCUCUGGGGAAACUUCCUCAGAGAGUGCAUAACUAGUAAAUGAAAAAUACAAUCAAAGUGAGAAGGUAAGGUAGAGCAAAGGCUCUGUAUUUUACUUUCUUUCAAACUUUUACAAAAGGUUCGUCCUCCUCCCGAGAAUAGGCUCCCGAGAGCUAUUUUAUAUGAAAAUUACAAUAAUAAUUAUUACAUGGAUAUUUACUAUUUUUCCUAACUUAAUAGCUACGGAAUCCUAUAAUUGGUGGCUUACAAGGAGAAUUUUGGGAUUUAGAAAACAAAAAUCUGAAGAAAAAUAUCUCAAAGUGUCGGUCGCAAAUAUCGGGAAGCAUUAAGGACCCUUUCGCAAGUGAAAAUGAGGUCUGCGAGAUUUCGCAGACGCACAAAAAGGGCUGCGAAAUCACUUCGCAGCAAAAGGCUGAUUUCGCAGCGCUGCGAAGUUGGCUUUCAGCUUGCAGUGUUCGGCUUCCAACGUGUCGCAAAUAUCGGGAAACUUCAGGAGGAAUUCCACAGCACUGUGCAAAAUGGCUGCGAAAUCAUUUCGCAGCAAAAGGGUGAUUUUGCAGCUGUGCAAAAUUCUUCCUUCAGCUUGGAAUGAUUGGCUUCCAAUGGCUGUAACUCCUUCAUUUCAACUCCAAAUCGCACACCGUUUGAAGCAUUGGAUUGUUGACUUCCUGAGCUUCGAAAUGAAAUAUAGCAUGAAUAAAUUGAACUCCAGGAAGUGCUCCAAAAGUGGCUGAUAUGACUGACAUCAAGAAUGCUUCAUGGCAGAUUUCUCUUUGCUUCCCCUCCUUGCAUUCCAGAUUUGCUUAUGACAAAGGACUUCAAAGCUUCGGUUCUUCAUGUUUCUGAGCUUUCCAUUGCUUUGCCAUAGAUUCCAAAUAACUCUCCUUAAUCUCGGAUUGCUUUGGUGAUAAAAAUCUAUCAAAACACCAAAACUUAACACAAAUUNNNNNNNNNNNNNNNNNNNNNNNNNNNNNNNNNNNNNNNNNNNNNNNNNNNNNNNNNNNNNNNNNNNNNNNNNNNNNNNNNNNNNNNNNNNNNNNNNNNNUUUUUGCGCAUGCUUUAAUCAUCAAUAAAUGGAACUCCAAUGAGAAAGGUAUAAGGAAUGAACAAACUUUCUCAGACCACUGAUGAAUACAUGAACCCCAACCCACGAGACAACCUCUCAGACUAAAAUCUCCGAAUCAAUGCCAAAUAAUGGGAUGGAUGGAGUGAUAUGACUGCCCUCUUUUGCACCAAGAUGUGAAGAAUCAUCAACCCAAGAAAUAGAAUAGAUAAGACGAAGCAAAUAAUGAUAAAUGCAAGAAAGAGAAUGAAAAUGUAAUGAUAGUGAAAUAGAACAAAUGAGGCGAUAAGGGGACAGUAACAAAAAUGAGAAGAUAAGCCUAUAAGUUUAAAGCUCAUGAGACUUUCCUAGCAAAGCAUGCAUAUACAUCAAAGGGCCCCAACCCGGGUGUAGAAAUGGUAAUCAAAGCUAUAAGAAAGAAAUAAGGCUAUAAUAUACCACGUGAGGCUCAAUGGGCUAGCAACGGUUUAAUAUAUCAAUAAAAGUGAUAAGAUGUAAGGCUAACCGAAAUGAUGGCCAUCCAUCCUGCGACCAUGGUCUCAAAUGUAAUACUUCUUCAACUAAUCCACAUUGGUGGGGUUUGAGAACUGGUCUCUAUCCAGAUACGUCAAUCAUAUUUCCUCUCUGGGGUAAACUCUCUAAUGACAAGUGGUGUACUCCAAGUAAGUCCCUAGGGUCUCCUAGAAUAGAUGAAUCUCCAUGACCAUAACCGGGCUAAUAUCGUCCUCAAACAUAUCAUCAACAUAAGCGGGAUGCCCCAACAUAAAUAAACUGAAUCUCUUCUAAACUCUCAACAAUGAAGAUCUCAAGCAUAUCAAGAGAGUGAACUAUCUCUGGCCAAUCUGUGCCAAGCAUCCAACUAUCAUCCAAUACGUCCAUCUCAUGCUCGUCAUGAAGAAAAUCAUGUCAAUCAAAUCUCCCAUAUGAGAAAAACUAACGUCCUCUAUAAGAACUCUCAUCUGAUAAACUUUGACUCAUAAUCCACUAAACUCAUCAUAUGUAUGAAGUCACCCUCAACAAUGUCACUGGCUAACUGGGUGGUGAGGGUGGGUGGUAAUGAAUCAUACGACAUCUCAUCCUGAACUGGAUGCUAUCUAUCUCACUAUCCAUUAAUCAUCUGGCUCAAACCUGCUAAUGUCUCUUGAAUAGAGUCAUGGUGACUGUAAUUCGAUCAACUAUAACAUGUUGAAGAUCCUGAUUCGUGCCCNNNNNNNNNNNNNNNNNNNNNNNNNNNNNNNNNNNNNNNNNNNNNNNNNNNNNNNNNNNNNNNNNNNNNNNNNNNNNNNNNNNNNNNNNNNNNNNNNNNNCGCACACCGUUUGAAGCAUUGGAUUGUUGACUUCCUGAGCUUCGAAAUGAAAUAUAGCAUGAAUAAAUUGAACUCCAGGAAGUGCUCCAAAAGUGGCUGAUAUGACUGACAUCAAGAAUGCUUCAUGGCAGAUUUCUCUUUGCUUCCCCUCCUUGCAUUCCAGAUUUGCUUAUGACAAAGGACUUCAAAGCUUCGGUUCUUCAUGUUUCUGAGCUUUCCAUUGCUUUGCCAUAGAUUCCAAAUAACUCUCCUUAAUCUCGGAUUGCUUUGGUGAUAAAAAAUCUAUCAAAACACCAAAACUUAACACAAAUUGAUUAGAAGUGCUUGCAAAGGUCCUUAAUAUGUUAAUUGGGUUAAAAGGCAAUAACUACUACUCAAAAGUGUUUAAAAGAGUUAAUUACAAGCUAUGAAAUAACACUUUUUGAGUAGUAAUCAGAUCCAUACCUGACUGCUUUGAAACCCUGAUUAAUUUAUCUCCAACUCUGAUCUAAGAAGUCGAAUCUAAACUGAAGCGAAUAACCCUCCUAUAAGGUACAAAGGCACGAAAAGAUAAAUGACAUGAAGGAAACUCAGAAAAGGUGGAGACACACUAAUCACAAUGCAGAAAAGGUGGCCCAACUGAAACUCAAACAUGUACCAAUCUCUAAGCACACCAAAAAGAGACCAUGAAGAGGAUAACUGAACCCAAUUAUGACCAAGACAGCUCUAAAGGUCCACAGAUGCACCCACGUGUAGGAGUGAAUUCUUAAUUGGGUCUAGGUUAGCCUACAAUGUUAAGGUGGCUCUAUAGGAUAAAAUGGGUGGGUUAAAGGAUCCCUAGCAGAAGCGAUCGUACCCUUCGAUGGUACGCAACCCUCUGCACGCCUCCAAGGAGACGGGGUGCUUCCAUGCAAGGUGGUCAUUACCUCCACACAUACACUUCCUCGCGUUCCCAGGGGGUUUCCUAAAAGGAAAGACUCUCCCAUCUCUCAACACUCAGGGAUAAUCUAAAGUGCACAAUGAAGGAUGUGGGUGCAUCCGAAAAAAAACUAAGAUCUAAAGUGAGAUAGUGAACAAAGACAAGCAAUCAUACAAUCAUGCAAGAUAAAGGGUUGUCAUGCAACAAGCAGUCAUGCAAAGCGGAUAUGUAUCAUACAAACAAGGUCCUAUCUAGCAUAUGCGAGAGUGAAUCAUGAUGAAGUGAGCAAAAUAGUCAAGUGAUCAUCCAAGGUAAUCAAUCAUGUUAGGAUAGCAAACCAAACAAGCAAGCAAAUCAAAUCAUCUUGCCUAAAAAAAAAAAAAGAGGUACCCAUUAAUCGACCAAUUAAACACCACAUUUUCCUCAACUAGUGUUCAAGUUUGAUCCUCAAAAUCCCCAGUGGAGUCGCCAAUUUGUGGACCCGCAUUUUUCACGUGCGUCCCCACUCGAUCGACGAGACUCUUUUUAUUUGUGAAAAAAUAUUUAGUUUUGGAAAAAAGUUGGAGUCGACCCUUAUUUUAUUUUUAUUUUAAAGGAAAAAUAAAACAAGAAACAAAAACCCUAAAAUGUGACUCCAUAAUUUUUGGAAAAAGCAUGCCUUUGAAAAACCCGAGUCUAGGUCCAGGGAUUAGGUUACUUAUUAGGAAGGUACCUUUAAAAGGUAGCACCCCUCUAAGCCCUACAAAAGUCUCUACUGACUAAGUUAAGGGAAGUGUGACAAUUAAUCAGUUAAUUAUAGAUACCUAAAUAGGCUAGGUGAUUUUAAAUAUUGCAUGCCUAACAAGAAAACAAACCAUAAGAGAGAGUCGAAGUGCGUACCUGAACGACUUCUCAAAGCGCUAUCAUAAAACAUGAAAGUUAGUGUAGGAAUCUAUCACACAACAUAUGUCUUAUCCGGGCAAAUCUAAUAUAUAUUUAAACACCCAAGAAUCACAUCAUGCAUGGAUGUAGUCACCAAUAACGUACGUGUCUAUAGAAUUCUCGAAAAAAAAAAUGAGAAGGAGCGUACCUGGAUAGCAAGCUAAAGCGCCUUUAUGGGAAGCAAGGUUAGCCCAAUAACAAAUAUAAAACAAAUUCAAGCAUAUCUCCAAGAGGAAUCAAGAUCAAUUAAAUACCAAACAAUCAUCUUUAAAAUCAAUAAUAGUGAAAAUAUCAAGAAUGUAGGACCCCCCACCAAAGUCCAUAUUAUUUUUGCACGAAUUGAUUCAAUGAAUUCCAUUGUUUGGAAUCAUGAAGUUUGUUCAUGCUUGUUGAAAAUCGAGAAAAAUCAAGAAAAUCGGUUGAAAAUCAAAUAAAAUAGUGAAAAUGCAUGCCAGAAGGAAAAUGGUAGUAAGAGUGUGUUAGAAUAUGGAUUUUAUACCUAAAAAGGACCUAAGAUGAAUUUUUCAAAGCCAGGAAUGUUUAGUUGAACAAUGGUUCAAAAAUUCAAUUUAAAACAAUAAGUUCCCAAUCAAAAAAGCAAACAGAGGAGAAGGUGUGUAUAGCAAGGUUGCUGUCAGCCCCUUAGCCACUUGAUUCAGACCCGGAGAAAUAAGUAUCAUGGGUAGGCCUUGCACCCAUGAGAGCCUAGGCGGAAAGCAAGGAAAGCCUGGAGGUUUGGUGGUUCAAACCCUAGGAGCUAAGUGUGGGGAUCGCGGACAAGUCAAGCACGCACUCCGGAUAGGCGUUACCAAGGAUCCGGACAUGUCUGCCCGGGGAAGUUGAAUCGUCCUCAUCUCCUAUCCGGCGACAGGGUUUCGAAUGUGAGAUAUCCUGGUGGAUGGAAUGUCAGUGGACAGGAUUUCGGAUGUGAGAUAUCCGAGUGGAUGGAAUGUCAGUGGACAGGAUUCCGGAUGUGAGAUAUCCGGGUGGAUGGAAUGUCAACGGACAGGAUUCCGGAUGUGAGAUAUCCGGGUAGAUGGAAUGUCGGCAAACAGGAUUCCGGAUGUAAGAUAUCUGGGUGGAUGGAAUGUCGGGGGAUUGGAUUCCGGAUGUGAUAUAUUCGGGUGGAUGGAGUGUCGGCGGACUGGAUUCCGGAUGUGAUAUAUCCGGGUGGAAUGAGUUGUGAUUCUCGUCCGGGUGGAAUGAGGUAUGCCACGCGUCGAAAGGAAGGCGGUCUGCGCGGCCAAGAGAGAGGGAGCCACGUGGCAAUUUUUGGGGAGGAUCCCACAUGUUUAACCCCAAGAAAACCCGUUUUACACAACCUUUAUCAAGUUCCCACCUUUCUCGGAAUGCGCAUGGUCUCCAUAUCCGAGAAUACUAAGGUAAAGGGGAAGAAACGUAGAUACAGAAGCACACAAAAAGGCCAAGAAAGAAAAGAAAGAAAAGAAAGGAAAACAGGGGAAAAGAAGACAGUCGGUGGGUAUUUUGAAGCCAGAUUGGGACAUAAAUGGGGGCAAGACCCAUUCAAAGGUAAACCUAUAUUCAGAUUGCUUUUAGAUGGAACCAAAGACAUUAAAAAGAAUAUUAAAAUAGCAUAAACAUGCAAGCAAACCAGUCUCAACUAAUCAAAUUGUGGCUCUUGUGUCCACACCAAACGAUAAGAAUGAAUCUUCAGAAAACUAAGAAGUCAGGAAAUGUUGAAACUAAAUGGUGAUAUAGCAAAAAUCUGGAAACAUACCUGCACGUUCUCCUCUACAAUUGCUUGGUUCCAGGCUGCUGCACCUUUUCCCGACUGAGAAAUCUGCUCCCCAAUCCUUUUUCUGUCCACCAAUCUUCUCCCUCUCUAUACGUGUUCCAAGUCCCUCUCUUCUAUGCCUCUCUUCAAGACGAUCCUCUCAUGCUUCCUCUUUUCCUUUUCUCCUUAUAUUCGUAUCAGCCUCUCAAACUCAAUCUGCUCAAGAGAAUCCCCUUUCCUUUCUUCUAUUUUCCUUCCUUUUUCAAAAAUCAGAAUGUUCAUCUCCUCUCACGCAGGAUCUUCUCUUUCCAUAUGUAUGCAACCACAUUAAUUCCUUUUUCCUCACAAAAUAUUUCUCUUAACUUUUUGAGUGCACAUACCUUAGUGAGAGUUGAACAGCAGCCCCUAUUCUCUUAUCAAACAAUAAAAAAAUGAAAAAUAGAGAGAAUAAAAACAAAAAAGGGUUAGCAAUCUUGCAACCUAUCAAAGAUUAAAAUAAAAUAAAAAUAAAUAAAGUAUAACAAAAUAAUUGAGUAAAAUAGUCAAUCCUAUGCGGGCCAUGCAAGUCACACAAAAAGUGAGUCUAAAAGUGCCUACUGGGCCAAGCGUGUCCAAAUGGGCCUAGAGCGGGGCCUAAUGGGCCAAGUGUACUAAAAGCUAUCCUAAAAAUGAACGAAAAAAAACCUAAGCCUAAAUUAGGGCUGCCAAGAGUCGUAAUAAGGGGUCAGAUAAUCCCUCAACCAAAGUCUCCGAGGUGACUCAGAAAAAGGUAAGUCGUAUGAGUAGUAAUGGGCCACCAAGGAACUAUUUUGAAGCACUGAAAACAAACUUAAAAGUCAUGUGCUAAAGGGACAAAAUUGAGGGUCUACAGUUGAAUCAGAUCUAAACAUCAAAGAGGCGACUCCCAAAAGAAGAAGCAUGACGAUAUCUAAAUAUCAACUAGAUCUCAAACACCUGUCCAAGUGACCCUUGAAAAUCAAUAUAUAUACUCAAUGAUAGAAAAUAAUACACACAUGCACCUUUUUUUUUCAUUUUUUUUUUUUACAUAUAUAGAAAUGUACACACCUUGAACAUGAACAAAAUAAGCCUCCAAAAAUGAUAUCAAUAAUGGAUAGACACGCUCUCGAGCGCUAAAGUAACAAAAACUCUCCCUGACAAGAUGACUUUCUCAAACUAAGAAUCUCUGAACCAAUGUUUAUGGGAUAGAUAAUGGUAAUGAUGUGACUACCCUCCAUGUAAUGAACUGAGGAGGGUCAUCACUCAGGGUGGAAAGAAUAUGAAGCAAAACAAGCAGUAGAUAGAAUAAAGAAAAAGAGAUGAAGAAUACAACCAAUGAGAUACGAUGGAAUGCAGUGAUGUAGUGAUGAGAAAAGAUAAUAAGAAGAAUGCGCCUCUAGGUCCAAGGCUCAUGGAACUCCCAAACAAUGAAUGCAUACACUAAAGGACCCCUAUCCCGGUGUGAAAAUGUGUGCAAGACGAUAAGAAAGAAAGGUUAUAAUGUGUGUGCGAGGCUCAAUGGGCUAGCAAUGGACUAUAUAUUAAAAGGGCGAAAGCGUAUAUGGCUAACCAAAAUGAUGGUCACCCAUCCUGCGACCAUGGUCUCAAACAUAGUACCUUUUUAGCUGAUCCACAUUGGUCGGCUCCGAGAAUCGGUUUCCAUCUAGAUCCAUCAACCAUGCAGAGCCCUCUGGGGUUAACUCCCUAAUGAAAUAAGGUCCGCUCUAGUUGGGUCUAAACUUCCCUCUAGGAUCUCUAAUCAAUCCUCUGAUGACUCUCAAGACUAAGUCACCUAUUUAUAGUGGUCUAGGCUUGACCAGCUUUUUGAAAGCACGAGCCAUCUUCCAUUGAUAUGCAUGAACAUGAUCUGCUGCUCUCAAUCUCCUCUCAUAUAGGAGAUUGAGCUGAUCUAAUCGAGCUUGAACCCAAUCUGCCUCUGGAAUCUGCUGCUCUAAUGUUACUCUCAAUGAGCCCAUCUCAAUCUCAACUGGUAACACUACCUCUAUACCAUACACCAAAGAGUAUGGUGUGGCUCCUGUAGAUGUGCAAAAAGAAGUCCGAUAAGCCCACAAUGCAAAAGGAAGCUUCUCUGACCAAUCUUGAGAAGUCUCAACCAUCCUCCGCAAGAUCCUCUUGAUAUUCUUAUUCAUUGCCUCUACUGCCCCAUUUGCCUACGGGCUGUACGCAGACGACCUAUGAUGUCGGAUUCCAUAUCAUUAUACUAAGGUGUCAAUCUCUGCUCUGAAAUAUACCCCCCUAUCCAAGAUCAACUCAUGAGGGACUCUAUAGCAACAGAUAAUGUGUGAUCUGAUGAAACCAACAACUCCAGUCGAUGUCAAUCUCGCGUAUGAAGCAGCCUCCACCCACUUGGUGAAAUAAUCAAUGGCAACCAAGAUGAACUCAUGACCAUUGGAAGAUUUCGACGAAAUCUUCCCGAUGAUGUCGAUGCCGCAUACUGAAAAUGGUCAUGGUGAAGUCAAGCAUGUAACUCCGAGGGUGGCACGUAGAUGAGGUCCCCAUGUAUCUGACACUCUGGACAUCUCUAAACAAA